GACGAACGCUGGCGGCGUGCCUAAUACAUGCAAGUAGAACGCUGAAGAGAGGAGCUUGCUCUUCUUGGAUGAGUUGCGAACGGGUGAGUAACGCGUAGGUAACCUGCCUUGUAGCGGGGGAUAACUAUUGGAAACGAUAGCUAAUACCGCAUAACAAUGGAUGACACAUGUCAUUUAUUUGAAAGGGGCAAUUGCUCCACUACAAGAUGGACCUGCGUUGUAUUAGCUAGUAGGUGAGGUAAUGGCUCACCUAGGCGACGAUACAUAGCCGACCUGAGAGGGUGAUCGGCCACACUGGGACUGAGACAAGGCCCAGACUCCUACGGGAGGCAGCAGUAGGGAAUCUUCGGCAAUGGGGGCAACCCUGACCGAGCAACGCCGCGUGAGUGAAGAAGGUUUUCGGAUCGUAAAGCUCUGUUGUAAGUCAAGAACGGGUGUGAGAGUGGAAAGUUCACACUGUGACGGUAGCUUACCAGAAAGGGACGGCUAACUACGUG
RNAcentral lists this ribosomal RNA (497 nucleotides) under uncultured bacterium. RNAcentral describes it as "partial 16S ribosomal RNA". It matches the Rfam family "Bacterial small subunit ribosomal RNA", at positions 28 to 507 of the family's 1533-position model. The record is from RNAcentral.